CAAAGGAAUUGACGGGGGCCCGCACAAGCGGCGAGCAUGUGGCUUAAUUCGACGCAACGCGAAGAACCUUACCAAGGCUUGACAUACACCGGAAAACCCUGGAGACAGGGUCCCCCUUGUGGUCGGUGUACAGGUGGUGCAUGGCUGUCGUCAGCUCGUGUCGUGAGAUGUUGGGUUAAGUCCCGCAACGAGCGCAACCCUUGUCCCGUGUUGCCAGCAGGCCCUUGUGGUGCUGGGGACUCACGGGAGACCGCCGGGGUCAACUCGGAGGAAGGUGGGGACGACGUCAAGUCAUCAUGCCCCUUAUGUCUUGGGCUGCACACGUGCUACAAUGGCCGGUACAAUGAGCUGCGAUACCGCGAGGUGGAGCGAAUCUCAAAAAGCCGGUCUCAGUUCGGAUUGGGGUUUGCAACUUGACCCCAUGAAGUUGGAGUCGCUAGUAAUCGCAGAUCAAGCAUUGUUUGCGGUGAAUUACGUUUCCCGGACCUUGU
RNAcentral lists this ribosomal RNA (491 nucleotides) under Streptomyces sp. T2-7. RNAcentral describes it as "bacterial SSU rRNA". It matches the Rfam family "Bacterial small subunit ribosomal RNA", at positions 902 to 1384 of the family's 1533-position model. Lineage: Bacteria; Bacillati; Actinomycetota; Actinomycetes; Kitasatosporales; Streptomycetaceae. The record is from RNAcentral.